AUGGUAUACUUCAACCUGCAUUUAGACUUGAUCAGAUCUUCUCUAGCAGUGGAUGGUCUUUGUCAUCAUGAGUCCCUUGGAGUUGCCCUGGAUCCUUGCAUUACUGAUAAUAGAAAUGAGAAUUACAUGUGCACAAUUUGGAGCUCCAAUGUUAUACUCCAACAUAGCAAAACAGCAAAUAAGCAGACCCCUGUUCUGGGUGAGAGCUGGAGAAAUCUGUAAAUUCAUAGGCUGAUAGCUAAUAAUGGCUGUCUCAGAGGAGAAGUAUAUAAGUGUUGUACAUUUUUUGGCCAUAGUUCCUAAAUACAGAUGGAAGACUUAAAAGUGAAUUUUUCCCAGCCCAAGAGAUGGCAGCACUCAGGGUACUGAUACAUUUCCUGCAAAAGCAUCUGGAAAAAGCACACUGUGUGCCCACUCAGCCCAGGAGACCUUCUGAGCAACAUUUCUGAACUCCAACCCAAUAUUUAGAAGAGGAAGAUUCCAACCUCUUACAGAGAAUGAACUAAAAAUUCAGCCUUCUAAGACACCAAGGGACAUUUCCUGAUUAGUAUGCUUCUUGAAGAGGAAAGAUCACCCACACAUUCCUGAGGCUAAAGAAGCAAUGAUUUAGGGAGCAAAGGACAUGGACCUUGUCAUCGUUUCUAUCUCCCACUUUCAAUGAUUCAGACACUGAAAAGUUGAUGGAAAGAAGUGUUUAGAAGAUAAAAAAUUGAUUGUCUUCGGGAACAUGAAUUAUAUUAAGUAAUUUGAACAUUUAGUGUAUUUUCUAUGUCUUAAUGGGCUCCUUUGAAUCAUUUGCACCUGCUUUUUCUGUAGAAUAAAUUAGUGUCCUACUAAAUGAGCA
This 844-nucleotide long non-coding RNA is filed under the name Monodelphis domestica (gray short-tailed opossum). RNAcentral's name for it is "lncRNA (ENSMODG00000047924.1)". The record is from RNAcentral. Lineage: Eukaryota; Metazoa; Chordata; Mammalia; Didelphimorphia; Didelphidae.